UUUGAUUAGGCUCAGGUUGAACGCUGGCGGGAUGCUUUACACAUGCAAGUCGAGCAGCCUUUGACACGGACUCGGUCUGGUGGCGAGUGAUGGCGAACGGGUGGUAAUAAUAUCGGAACGUGCCUAGUAGCGGGGAUAACUACGCGAAAGCGUAGCUAAUACCGCAUACGCCCUUCGGGGAAGCGGGGACGCUGUAGACUCACGCUGUGAAACGAAGCGACUAUCGGUUGGCUAGUUGGUGGAGUAACGACUCCUGCGGGCGACGAUCAGCAGCUGGUUUGAGAGGACGACCAGCCACACUGGGACUGAGACACAGACUCCUACGGAGAGCAGCAGUAAAAUUUUGGACAAUGGGGGAAACACGAUCCAGCCAUCGCGUUGUGCGAUGAGCCUUCGGGUUGUAGAAAGCACUUUUGGCAGGAAAAGAAACGGCACGGGAUAUUACCCCCGUGCAACUGACGGUACACAGAAUAGCGCAAAGCUAACUACGUGCCAACUUCUUUGUGACAGCCGUAGGGUGCAAGCGUUAAUCAGAUAUUACUAGGGGCGUAAAGCGUGCAGGCGGGGUUCAAGGAAGAAAGAUUAAAGCCGAAAUCCCAGAGCUUAACUUUGGAACUGCAUUUUAACUACCGAGCUAGAGUGUAAUCAGAGGAGGUGGAAUUCCGCGUGAGUGAAAUGCGUGAAUAUGCGGGGGUUCGAUGCGCUGAAGGCAGCCUCCUGGGAUAACACUGACAUCAUGCACAGCGUGGGAGCAAACAGGAUUAGAUGCCCUGGUAGUCCACGCCCUAAACGUGUCAACUAGCUGUUGGAAUCCUUCGGGCCUUGGUAGCGCAGCUAACGCGUGAAGUUGGCCGCCUGGGGAGUACAGUCGCAGAUUAAAACUCAAAGGAAUUGACGGGGACCGCACAGGCGUGGAUGAUGUGGUUAAAUUCAGUGCAGCACCGAAAAGCCUUACCUACCCUUGACAUGUGUCUGGAAUCCCGAGAGACGGGAGUGCUCGCGAGAACCGGAACACAGGUGCUGCAUGGCUGUCGUCAGCUCGUGUCGUGAGAUGUUGGGUUAAGUCACAACGACUGGCGCAUCAUUAGUUGCUGAGACGCUCUAGUAAGGACUGCCGAUGACAAACCGGAGGAAGGUACUGAGAUGUCAGUCCUCAUGGCCCUUAUGGGUAGGGCUUCACACGUCAUAUAAUGAGUCAGGACAAGGUCGCCAACCCGCGAGAGAACCCAAUCCAGAAACCCGAUCGUAGUCCGGAUCGCAGUCUGCAACUCGACUGCGUGAAGUCGGAAUCGCUAGUAAUCAUAGCGGAUCAGCAUAUCGCGGUGAAUACGUUCCCCGGGUCUUCACUCCGUCACGCCAUGGGGAGUGGGUUUUACCAGAAGUGGUUAACUAUAACCAGUAAGGAGGGCGUUACCACGAGCGCAAGUUGCUGACUGGGGUGAAGUCGUAACAAGGUAACU
RNAcentral lists this ribosomal RNA (1460 nucleotides) under uncultured Bordetella sp. RNAcentral's name for it is "partial 16S-23S ribosomal RNA intergenic spacer". It matches the Rfam family "Bacterial small subunit ribosomal RNA". The record is from RNAcentral. Lineage: Bacteria; Pseudomonadati; Pseudomonadota; Betaproteobacteria; Burkholderiales; Alcaligenaceae.